GGGGGUAAUGCUCUAUAGUCCGGGAGGACUGGAAUGUUCUCCGGAUGAAAGAUCCGUCGCUUCAGGAUGAGUCUGCGGCCGAUUAGGUAGUUGUUGGGGUAAAAGCCCAACAAGCCUGUAAUCGGUACGGGUUGUGGGAGCAAGAGCCCGGAGAUGGAUUCUGAGACACGAAUCCAGGCCCUACGGGGCGCAGCAGGCGCGAAAACUUUACAAUGCGGGCAACCGUGAUAAGGAAACCCCGAGUGCCAGCACAGGCUGGCUGUCCGCCAGUGUAAACAACUGGUGAAGAAAGGGCCGGGCAGGACCGGUGCCAGCUGCCGCGGUAAUACCGGCGGCUCGAGUGGUGGCCGCUUUUACUGGGCUUAAAGGGUCCGUAGCUUGAUCCAUGGGUCCCUUGAGAAAUCCAUCAGCUUAACUGCUGGGCGUUCAGGGGAAACUGUGGUUCUAGGGACCGGGAGAGGUAAGAGGUACUGCCGGGGUAGGAGUGAAAUCCUGUAAUCCCGGUGGGACGACCUAUAGCGAAGGCAUCUUACCAGAACGGCUCGACAGUGAGGGACGAAAGCUGGGGGAGCAAACCGGAUUAGAUACCCGGGUAGUCCCAGCUGUAAACGAUGCGCGUUAGGUGUGUCAGUGACCACGUGUCACUGAUGUGCCGAAGGGAAACCGUGAAACGCGCCGCCUGGGGAGUACGGUCGCAAGGCUGAAACUUAAAGGAAUUGGCGGGG
Molecule: ribosomal RNA, 725 nt
Filed under: uncultured archaeon
Lineage: Archaea
Description: bacterial SSU rRNA
Rfam family: Archaeal small subunit ribosomal RNA
Source: RNAcentral